AUGCCCAACAGCUAGCCCACCUAAACAAUUUCAACAAACCCUUGUUAAUAACCCCUAAAUACCCUAGUAUUUAAAUUAAACAAACCAUUUUUCCCCCUUAGUAUAGGCGAUAGAAAAGGGACUACGGCGCAAUAGAGAAAGUACCGCAAGGGAACGCUGAAAGAGAAAUGAAAUAACCCAGUAAAGCCCAAAAAAGCAGAGAUUUAACCUCGUACCUUUUGCAUCAUGAUUUAGCGAGUGUACCCCAAGCAAAGAGCACUUUAGUUUGACGUCCCGAAACUACGUGAGCUACUCCAAGACAGCCUAUUAAUAGGGCGCACCCGUCUCUGUUGCAAAAGAGUGGGGAGAGCUUUGAGUAGAGGUGACAAACCUACCGAACC
RNAcentral lists this ribosomal RNA (380 nucleotides) under Myoxocephalus stelleri (Steller's sculpin). RNAcentral's name for it is "partial 16S ribosomal RNA". It matches the Rfam family "Bacterial large subunit ribosomal RNA", at positions 165 to 839 of the family's 2925-position model. The record is from RNAcentral. Lineage: Eukaryota; Metazoa; Chordata; Actinopteri; Perciformes; Cottidae.